This is a non-coding RNA of Camellia sinensis, 617 nucleotides long. The record is from RefSeq and is a predicted model, not a curated record. NCBI's taxonomy places the organism in Eukaryota, Viridiplantae, Streptophyta, Magnoliopsida, Ericales, Theaceae.
CUAUAAUCUGUCCAGAUAACCCUCCCUUCUCUUCUCAAAGCCGAUCUCACCCUCCCUUCUCUUCUCAAAGCCGAUCUCCCUCCACAGACCCCGAUAUUCCAGCACCUCCUCCCUACUCUGACCGAUCUCCUCCCUCCUCUCUCCUCUCACCGAUCUCCUCCCUCCUUUCUCCUCUGGCGACCACGGAUGACGUCUCCUCUGUGGUGCCGAUUUGUUUGAUUUUGUGGGUGUUCAUAGAGUUCACCAGCGAAUCAAACGAAAAUUGAGCCCAAGGAUGGAAGAAUACGACACAAGCUUCUAUUAAGGGAAAUAAUGGAUUUUGUUACAACAAUAUAGUCUGUCAAAUACAUAGGAUUAACAAGAUCAAGGUAGUUCGGGGGGAAGAGGUGUGGGGCAUAAAAGUGGAGAAAAGCUGCAGAAAUUCCUAAAUCACAAAAUUUAGCUAUUGAUUAUUUCUCCACACAAAACCCAAAAGUUUCACUACAUAAGAAAUCCAUAAAAAUUAAAAAAUAAAAUCUAGAAGUUUCAGAGAAUACACAUCACUAUUUUGUGUCGCUAAACUCCACCCUCUAGCAAUGGAGCUCAACUUAGCUUCAUAAAAGAUCAAACCAAAGCAU